GAAAGAUCAGGCUGGGCUCAACAAACACAAAGGAUUCAACUACCAAGUUCUGAGCUUACCUACCAGUAAGUCUUCAGGGAACCCAGGUGACGCAAAUUGGGAUAAUGCCUUUGAGUGCCUGCCUCUUGGGAACUAAGGGAGAAAGCCUUAGUCAAACUUAAUAAGGUCUUUGCCAUGAAAGUAAAGAGGGUCCAAAAUAAGGCCGUAUCGUAUUCCUUUGUCUGAUCCACCCUUCAAAACAAAAUGAUUAUUGGUUUCUAUACAAGGAAGUGAUGGGACUGAUGAUAGAUCCAUAAAAAGUGAAGAGGAGUUUUACAAUCCCCCCUGGAUUUGGAAGCAAAGAUAAAAAAAGGAAGAAUCUAGAAAUUGAUGCAACGUGGUGAUACAUGGAAGCUAAUAAGGAAUAGAAACAAAAGGAGAAAGUUUGUCUCCUAUGCCUGGGAUGUACUUCCUUCUCACCUCUGUCUUGGGUGUUCACGGAGGACUAGCAUCUCUGUGUGGGGGCUCACCGAGCCCUUUUCAGGGCUGAUCAUCUAUCUUUAGAGUCCAUCUUUCACUCAUCUCUCACCUUUGGCUACAAGAAGCUAUGACGUGCAUAGUGACCGCACUCCCAAGUGGGCUGACUAAACCAGGUUGAGGGUCACCAACAGGCUUCAAACCCAUCAGUAGGCUAAGGGGAUGCCUAACCCAAACGUGAGAAGACUUCCUCUGGUGGAAUGGACAGAUGAGAAAAUUUUGUUCCAACAAGCUAAAGCAGAUAUUGUGGAGUGCCUGGAUCUUGGUCAGGCACUGGAGAAGCCAAGAUGAUCCACUGCAUCUUAGUCCUUGGCUAGUCAUCUUGACUUU
RNAcentral lists this long non-coding RNA (846 nucleotides) under Monodelphis domestica (gray short-tailed opossum). Its description in RNAcentral is "lncRNA (ENSMODG00000040781.1)". The record is from RNAcentral. Lineage: Eukaryota; Metazoa; Chordata; Mammalia; Didelphimorphia; Didelphidae.